CGAUGGAUCCUUCCCGGCCCAGCAUAUCCCAUAAUGCAUUGCGGUCCGACCGGAGAUUCUUUUUUUCUUGUAAUGGCSGACGAAGCGAGAGUCGAAGCGAUGGAGGAGUACAGUUUUAAAUGGUCCAAGGAGCAGACUGAAGCUUUUAUAAAGCUGAGGGAAAAAUGAACACCUCUUCAGGGGGUUUAAGAAUUCGGCCGCUGUGGGAUGGAGGUACAAGAAUAAACUUAUCAUAAUAGUUAUUAAAAUACUUAUAACCUGUGAUCUUAAAUGGAGUAUACUUUCAAUGGGGUUCCACUGGCUUUCCUUUUGUGUUCUGCUAUGAAAACUGUUUUUACAAGAAGGGAUUGACAGCUUACAUGUUUCCUCUUCACUUAUUUUUGUGUAUGUU
This is a long non-coding RNA of Austrofundulus limnaeus, 391 nucleotides long. RefSeq lists it as uncharacterized. The transcript is spliced from 2 exons. NCBI's taxonomy places the organism in Eukaryota, Metazoa, Chordata, Actinopteri, Cyprinodontiformes, Rivulidae. The record is from RefSeq and is a predicted model, not a curated record.